GAUGAACGCUAGCGGCAGGCCUAACACAUGCAAGUCGAGGGGUAGAAGUUGCUUGCAACUUUGAGACCGGCGCACGGGUGCGUAACGCGUAUGCAAUCUACCUUGUACAGGGGGAUAGCCCAGAGAAAUUUGGAUUAAUACCCCAUAGUGUAAUGAAAUCGCAUGGUUUUAUUACUAAAGUUCCAACGGUACAAGAUGAGCAUGCGUCCUAUUAGCUAGUUGGUGUGGUAACGGCGCACCAAGGCAACGAUAGGUAGGGGUCCUGAGAGGGAGAUCCCCCACACUGGUACUGAGACACGGACCAGACUCCUACGGGAGGCAGCAGUGAGGAAUAUUGGUCAAUGGGCGCAAGCCUGAACCAGCCAUGCCGCGUGCAGGAAGACGGUCCUAUGGAUUGUAAACUGCUUUUGUACGGGAAGAAACACUCCUACGUGUAGGAGCUUGACGGUACCGUAAGAAUAAGGAUCGGCUAACUCCGUGCCAGCCGCCGCAGUAA
RNAcentral lists this ribosomal RNA (496 nucleotides) under uncultured bacterium. RNAcentral's name for it is "partial 16S ribosomal RNA". It matches the Rfam family "Bacterial small subunit ribosomal RNA", at positions 28 to 523 of the family's 1533-position model. The record is from RNAcentral.